RNAcentral lists this transfer RNA (64 nucleotides) under Curtos costipennis. RNAcentral's name for it is "tRNA-Trp". The record is from RNAcentral. Lineage: Eukaryota; Metazoa; Arthropoda; Insecta; Coleoptera; Lampyridae.
AGGAUUUAAGUUAGUCUAAACUAUCAACCUUCAAAGUUGCCAACAAAGAUGCCUUUAAGCCUUG